RNAcentral lists this long non-coding RNA (456 nucleotides) under Spirodela polyrhiza (greater duckweed). RNAcentral describes it as "long non-coding RNA (SPOL_LNC002095)". The record is from RNAcentral. Lineage: Eukaryota; Viridiplantae; Streptophyta; Magnoliopsida; Alismatales; Araceae.
UUUAAAACCCAGAAUCGGAGGCUGACCCAAAACGAUUGUGAUUCCCUCACAGAGGAACGCCUCUGGCUUCUGGAUUUAUAAAAAUCUGGGUUGGCCUCUGUGACGGAUCUUGCCGGAUCAAGGAGGGAUGGCGGAGACGAAUGCGAUGUGUUCUUGGCACCCCUGGUGUGGUCUUCUUCUCUGAGAUCCGCCGCUUGCUUCUGCAGUUCCAGGGGUCAAACGCAGGAAGAGGCACAGGAGGAAGCACGUCGAGAACCAGGAGCCCUGCACCAUGAGAGGGGUCUACUUCAAGAACAUGAAGUGGCAGGCGGCGAUCAAGGUCGACAAGAAGCAGAUCCACCUGGGCACCGUCGGAUCGCAGGAGGAGGCCGCCCACUUGUACGACAGGUAUAAGUGAACAGCUCCGAGCUCUCCCCCGCCGAUUUCUGGCCUUCCGGCCGUGGGGAGUCGGCCAGG